UACGAAGGGGCAGAGCGUGUUCGGUGAAUUACUGGGCGUAAAGCGCACGUAGGCGGAUAUUUAAGUCAGGGGUGAAAUCCCAGAGCUCAACUCUGGAACUGCCUUUGAUACUGGGUAUCUUGAGUAUGGAAGAGGUAAGUGGAAUUGCGAGUGUAGAGGUGAAAUUCGUAGAUAUUCGCAGGAACACCAGUGGCGAAGGCAGCUCGCUGGGACGUGACGUGACGCUGAGACGCAAAGCG
Molecule: ribosomal RNA, 239 nt
Filed under: uncultured bacterium
Lineage: Bacteria
Description: partial 16S ribosomal RNA
Rfam family: Bacterial small subunit ribosomal RNA
Source: RNAcentral